GUGGCAACAGUACCAGGCGGCAGGCUCAGGGUAAGGCAGAGGUUGGUAGUCCAGAUGGUGGCGAAGGUACAGGUCGGUAGGCAGGCUCAGGGUAAGGCAGAGGUCGGUAGUCCAGAUGGUGGCGAAGGUACAGGUCGGUAGGCAGGCUCAGGGUAAGGCAGAGGUCGGUAGUCCAGAUGGUGGCGAAGGUACAGGUCGGUAGGCAGGCUCAGGGUAAGGCAGAGGUCGGUAGUCCAGAUGGUGGCGAAGGUACAGGUCGGUAGGCAGGCUCAGGGUAAGGCAGAGGUCGGUAGUCCAGAUGGUGGCGAAGGUACAGGUCGGUAGGCAGGCUCAGGGUCAGGGGCAGGC
Oncorhynchus tshawytscha (Chinook salmon) is the source of this 348-nucleotide long non-coding RNA. Lineage: Eukaryota; Metazoa; Chordata; Actinopteri; Salmoniformes; Salmonidae. The record is from Ensembl.